This is a long non-coding RNA of Sceloporus undulatus (fence lizard), 663 nucleotides long. RefSeq lists it as uncharacterized. NCBI's taxonomy places the organism in Eukaryota, Metazoa, Chordata, Lepidosauria, Squamata, Phrynosomatidae. The transcript is spliced from 3 exons. The record is from RefSeq and is a predicted model, not a curated record.
UGACAUAUGCUCCCUGCUGGUCAGAAAUACUAUACUUCUGCGAAAGGAUGAAUCCUGGAUUGCAGAAGAAGAUGUAGUGCAGACAUGUGGCAGCAUUGGGAGACUCCUCCCACUGGAUUCUUGCUUUCAUCUGACAGCUCCCUCAACUCUACAGCUGAAUUGAAUGAAACUUGCUGCUGCUGGGCCUGAGUUUGCAAAGAAAUAGGAGAGGUGGACCUUCCGUGCCUCCGCUCCAGUUCCUGGAGUUUGCUUUUUGGUGAUGUACAAGAGCAAUCUGACUGAGAAUUCAAUAGAAUCCCUAAUCUGCCAGUCCCAGGAUUCCGAAGGAUGAAAUCAUGAUAGUUAUAGUGAAAUAAUACCACUAUUAAUAUGCCAUGUGAAUAGGCCCCAGAUCUACUUGUAAUCUAUAUGCUAUAGCAUGUAUUCCUCAGCUAUGCUAGAUUUUUUGAAAACAAAACAAAACAAAACAAAACAACCAUUGUAGAGGAAGAAGGGAUAAUGCACAGCAUCGUAAAAUUUCUUACCAAUGUGCAUGGUUCAUUACACCUGAGUGCUGCACACAGUUCAUUUCAGUGGAGCUUGCCAGCAUAAGGAAUAAAAUCAAGAUGUACAGCUUGUGUGUAUUAUAGAGUGUAUAAUGUCAAUUCCUACUUAAUUAAAUAU